CAAACGACUCUCGGCAACGGAUAUCUGGGCUCUCGCAUCGAUGAAGAACGUAGCGAAAUGCGAUACUUGGUGUGAAUGGCAGAAUCCCGUGAACCAUCGAGUCUUUGAACGCAAGUUGCGCCCGAAGCCAUUAGGCCGAGGGCACGUCUGCCUGGGCGUCACGC
Molecule: ribosomal RNA, 164 nt
Filed under: Triosteum perfoliatum
Lineage: Eukaryota; Viridiplantae; Streptophyta; Magnoliopsida; Dipsacales; Caprifoliaceae
Description: 5.8S ribosomal RNA
Rfam family: 5.8S ribosomal RNA
About the family: 5.8S ribosomal RNA (5.8S rRNA) is a component of the large subunit of the eukaryotic ribosome. It is transcribed by RNA polymerase I as part of the 45S precursor that also contains 18S and 28S rRNA. Functionally, it is thought that 5.8S rRNA may be involved in ribosome translocation.
Source: RNAcentral